GAAAAGGCUUGCAGCUGGUUCUCCUCCAACAACAAGUAGUGAAGCCUAAUUUUAGUGAAAUUUUAAAAUGGAAAAUGCUCUUAUACUUCAUUUGUAGCUUUUUUUUUUUUAUUUAUUUACAUGUGUAGUAUCUGGGGAGCUGCCUCUAGUGUCCUCAGCCGAGGGUAACAAGAGACCCGCUUUUCUGGAAAAGUUUGUAGUUCUGUGGGCUCGGACUCCCUCUCCACCUCUGCGCCUUCUCCUCAGUGAACCCACUUUGACUGCUAUUUAGUGCCACAGAUAGUGAGAGGACUGACUACCUGUGCCUGAUAAAACGGCUAAUAGAGAGGGGUCUUUUAGGAGAGGAGGAUGUGGGCACCAACUGGCCAAAGUUGUCAGCGUUAUCUUGGCCAGAGGAGUCUGUACAGAAGUUUCAACUGCUCUCUCUGUCCACCCAGUUCCCAUUGCCUUCCCUGCCAAACCACAGGGACAUACUGCAGGUCUCUCAAUGACCACUAGGGGGAUGCACGAGUCUACACUACCAACUGUACACAUGAAUCCCAGCCAAACACUAUUGUAUUAACAGCAGUGAUGCAUAUUUGAAGAAAAGAAAGAAUGUUUAAACCUACAAUAUAUAGGAUUAAAAAAAAUAUUUUAAAGUCUGAUUUAUUGUUAGUUGCAAGGAGAAUAUUUGCUGCUGAAGAAUGCUGAGUUGAUAAGAUUGUUAUUGACAGUUUAUAAACCUUUAAAACACAUUUUGUGGGGACAUUUUAGCAGGGCUUUGCCAGUUUUCACUUAUACUGCCUCACAAUAGAACAGGAUAAAGACCAUUCACUGUGCUAUGUAUUUGUUUUAAGCGUGUGUAAAUGUUUUUCUGCUUGUGUGUCUGUUUGUAUGUUUCUUAGUAUGUAUUUGCGGAAAGUUUGCGAUUUGUUCCUGUUGGACAGUGUUUUCAUCUUUUUAAUGCUAAACUAUCUAAUGUAAUAAAAUGUAAUUUAGUAUCUCUCACGUGUUCUUUCAUGUAGCUCAGCUGGAGUCCAUAUGCAAGGCUGCACUUCUGACAAAUUUCAUGGGAAUUGCCCAUUUUAAAAUGGAAAUCAGGGAGACAUCAGGGAAAUUUCUAUAGGGAAUAUUCAUGUUUGCCUGCAUAAAAACAGAAUUACUCCUGUGAUGGUAAAGCUGACUUUUCGGCACCCAUCAUUCCACUUUUCAGUGUCACAUGCUCAGAAAUCAUUCUAAUA
Molecule: long non-coding RNA, 1220 nt
Filed under: Sinocyclocheilus grahami
Lineage: Eukaryota; Metazoa; Chordata; Actinopteri; Cypriniformes; Cyprinidae
Description: lncRNA (ENSSGRG00000026282.1)
Source: RNAcentral